AGUCAACAUGCCCAGGGGACGUGGAUAACCUCGGGAAACUGAGGAUAAACCGCGAUAAGUCACUACUUCUGGAAUGGGUAAUGACUUAAAUCUAUAUGGCCCCUGGAUUGGACUGCGGCCGAUCAGGCUGUUGGUGAGGUAAUGGCCCACCAAACCUGUAACCGGUACGGGCUCUGAGAGGAGGAGCCCGGAGAUGGGCACUGAGACAAGGGCCCAGGCCCUAUGGGGCGCAGCAGGCGCGAAACCUCUGCAAUAGGCGAAAGCCUGACAGGGUUACUCUGAGUGAUUUCCGUUAAGGAGAUCUUUUGGCACCUCUAAAAAUGGUGCAGAAUAAGGGGUGGGCAAGUCUGGUGUCAGCCGCCGCGGUAAUACCAGCACCCCGAGUGGUCGGGACGUUUAUUGGGCCUAAAGCAUCCGUAGCCGGUUCUGCAAGUCUUCCGUUAAAUCCACCUGCUUAACAGAUGGGCUGUGGAAGAUACUAUAGAGCUAGGAGGCGGGAGAGGCAAGCGGUACUCGAUGGGUAGGGGUAAAAUCCGUUGAUCCAUUGAAGACCACCAGUGGCGAAGGCGGCUUGCCAGAACGCGCUCGACGGUGAGGGAUGAAAGCUGGGGGAGCAAACCGGAUUAGAUACCCGGGUAGUCCCAGCUGUAAACGAUGCAGACUCGGUGAUGAGUUGGCUUUAUGCCAACUCAGUGCCGCAGGGAAGCCGUUAAGUUUGCCGCCUGGGGAGUACGGUCGCAAGACUGAAACUUAAA
This 755-nucleotide ribosomal RNA is filed under the name uncultured archaeon. Its description in RNAcentral is "bacterial SSU rRNA". It matches the Rfam family "Archaeal small subunit ribosomal RNA", at positions 102 to 860 of the family's 1478-position model. The record is from RNAcentral.